RNAcentral lists this RNase P RNA (338 nucleotides) under uncultured Ruminococcus sp. Its description in RNAcentral is "Bacterial RNase P class A". It matches the Rfam family "Bacterial RNase P class A". Rfam says of the family: Ribonuclease P (RNase P) is a ubiquitous endoribonuclease, found in archaea, bacteria and eukarya as well as chloroplasts and mitochondria. Its best characterised activity is the generation of mature 5'-ends of tRNAs by cleaving the 5'-leader elements of precursor-tRNAs. Lineage: Bacteria; Bacillati; Bacillota; Clostridia; Eubacteriales; Oscillospiraceae. The record is from RNAcentral.
GCAGACUAUGCGGUAGCGGAAACGUUUGAGUUUAUGAGGAAAGUCCGGGCAUCAUAGGGCAGGGUAGCUGCUAACGGCAGCCGAGGGCGACCUUAGGGCAAGUGCAACAGAGAUAUACUGCCUCCUCGUGAGGUGAUGGUGGAAAGGCGAGGUAAGAGCUCACCAGAGUACAGGAGACUGUACUGCUAUGUAAACCCUAUCCGAUGCAACGUCUAUUGGUGCUUUAUAUCUUAACGUCUGCCCGGCGGAUAUAAAGUAAUGACGGCUUGAGCCUGUCGGCGACGGCAGGCGUAGAUAAAUUACCGCACACGACAGAACCCGGCUUAUCGGUCUGGUCA